Long non-coding RNA from Prosopis cineraria, 804 nucleotides. RefSeq lists it as uncharacterized. Lineage: Eukaryota; Viridiplantae; Streptophyta; Magnoliopsida; Fabales; Fabaceae. The record is from RefSeq and is a predicted model, not a curated record. The transcript is spliced from 2 exons.
GGUGAUUGAAGCCGAAGACCCUAAAUCCUUUCUUUAACUCGAUUGCAAAUUUGUUGAAGAAAACUGAAAUCCUGGUUAAUUAGUGAGAAUUUUAAAAAAGAAAUUGUGAAAUGGUGAAAAGUCUUGAUGGCGUGGAAUUGAUCACAAGAUCUCUUCAAAAUUCUCAAUCUAAUUCGGAAGACCUAAACAAAACAAUCGAAGCAAAGAAAAGUUAAAUAGUUGAUAAUGGAGACGGUAAUGGAAGAUGUGGAGGAGUACAGUUAGAGAGAAGUGAUAUUUCCAUCUCUGAUUCCGAAGGUAUCUCCGCCAGAGCUUGAGAGCGAAACAGGACAACAAAGAAGAGGAAGAGACAUACCGGUAGCCAUAGACCGCGGUUCCAACAGCAAGAACGCCUUCGAUUGGGCUCUCGUCCACCUCUUUCGCCUCGCGUAUACAAUCCAUCUCAUUCACGCUGUCUCUGACGUGAAGAACUAAAUUGUUUGCGACGUCACCGAGAACCUCAUGGAUCGAUUAGCUGUUGAGGCUUAUAAAGUGCAAUGGCUUGUUUUCCUUCUUUUUAUACGUGCAUUCGAGAGCACUUGAGGAGGGAGUCCUUGAGAUGUCUAGAAAAGUCUGUCUUCACUGUAAUUAAGAAAAGAAAAUGGGAUAAAAGACAAAUCCCUUUGUGUUCCCUGAGCCUGAGAUUUCCUGUAUAGAUCAGAUCACAGGAAAGAUGUUGGGAAGAACUUGUGCCAUUUUAACAUGGUGAACUUAUGUAUUGGAUAGAUGUUUGAAUCUGAAUAAUAACCUGUUUAUUAGGCCCAA